Molecule: unclassified non-coding RNA, 229 nt
Filed under: synthetic construct
Source: RNAcentral
GGAUGCGAGAAUUCGCGGGGGGCAGCGUAAGCGACUGCUUAGCCCAUCAAUUUUGUCACUUCCGCAGCACCUUUGCCUAUUAGAGAUUUAAUAGCGCGGGUUGCGUAAGCCGGGCGAUAACUGGGUUCGCGCUGCGGACAUGGUCGAAUAGGGCACCGAGUUGGUAGAGAAGCCGUGCCUUGUGCGAGGCUGAUGACGGGCAACUCGGCUAGCGCAUUGUGAGACUGGA